AACUGUCCCCGGUCUCCCCUACAGAACUGUCCCCAGUCUCCCCUACAGAACUGUCCCCGGUCUCCCCUACAGAACUGUCCCCGGUCUCCCCUACAGAACUGUAACUGGUCUCCCCUACAGAACUGUCCCCGGUCUCCCCUACAGAACUGUCCCCAGUCUCCCCUACAGAACUGUCCCCGGUCUCCCUACAGAACUGUCCCCAGUCUCCCCUACAGAACUGUCCCCAGUCUCCCCUACAGAACUGUCCCCGGUCUCCCCUACAGAACUGUCCCCAGAACUGUCUCCCCUACAGAACUGUCCCCAGUCUCCCCUACAGAACUGUCCCCAGUCUCCCCUACAGAACUGUCCCCAGUCUCCCCUACAGAACUGUCCCCAGUCUCCCCUACAGAACUGUCCCCGGUCUCCCCUACAGAACUGUCCCCGGUCUCCCCUACAGAAACAGUGCAGGUUACACUGUUAACAGUUUAGAAAACAGUUUCUCCUUCAUCUGGACAUGGUGUCGUGUGGUUUACUCCACAACGAUAAAAUUGUCUUUUUGCAGUUCAACACUCACUACUAUGUACAGUAUAUGGACAUCAGGUUUUAUCUUAUUACUCGCCUGAUGUUCAAGUGCAAUCUUACUGCUCCGAAUCAGCAAAAUGAUGCAACAAAAACCACAAACGUCACACAUUGAGUAAUACUUCUUAGUGAGUCAGCAUCACUUAAAUAGUGUUCAUGGGAAUUUACAGCAGAGGGCUGGAGGGGAGGACAGUAUAAGGAGGGAGAGAAUGGAGGCACACAGAGUAGGGGAAAGUGGGGUAAGUUGAUCCAAAGGGUUAGUUGAGCCACACCUUGUUUCUCGGAAACCAUACGCAAACAUUUAGGAAGAGGUAAUCAUUUAAUUUGAAGUCUGUGAAGGAAGAAACCACAUGGAAAACUGUGGUUAGAAACCUAGGUCCCUAAAACAGAUUUCACAAAGUCCAAUUCAUUUGUUAUAGGUUUCAUCUAAACCAAAGUAGAAGAUUAUUUUGUACAUCAAUUGGGGUCUCUAUAAGCUACAAUAUGACGCCCUAAAACAGGGGUGUCAAACUCGUUCCAUGCAGGGCCUAGUGUCUGAGGGGAGUUCCUGCAGACACUCCAUGGGAUGAGUUGGACAUGUGUGCCCUAAACCUAGCAUGAAAGAGCAUAUUUGCAGCUAUGUGGGCUAAUCUAGUCAAAAUGUUUGCUUUGGGGUAUGUUUGCUUUGAUUACAUCGUCAGUUUUAUGCAUAAUAUGCAUAGUCAUUUUUCAAUGUGUCAUACAUAUGAAUUCAAAACUGCAUUAUUGUUACAGAGCAGACAUCAUCAUGCCCCAUGUAUACAAAUGUAAAGCAAGCAGGGGUCGAGCCCCCCUCGAGGUUCUUGACAGAGCAGCCAAGGAAAUGAGAGAAAAAGAAAUCCAUUUGAGCAGAAGCAAGGGUUGAAAAAACAGACUGACACUGAAGAGGUACAUUGACAAAAAAUGUCAAGAACAAGUACCUGUGUGAAAGAGAGGCUAUUAUAGAGUAGCACAGGCAUACUGGUCUUAUCUGAUGACAUGGAGUCUGAGCUUGCUAAACAUAUCACGAAUCUCGCAGACCAGUUUCAUGGUCUUUGUAGCCUCAAAUGCAGAGAUCCUAUGAAUUGGCACAUCGAAACAAUGUCCCUGUCCCAGACAAUUGGUCAAGAAAUGGAAGGGUAAGUAAUAUUGAACAGAGAAAUCUACAAGUAACUGAGUAAAUCUACAACACUUGAGUAAAUGAGGGUUCUGGCGGCUCUGUUAUGGUAUGGGGUGGUUAUGGGGUGUAUUUUCCUGUCAUGGUUUAGGUCCACUCAACCCCUUAGUGGGCAAGGUAAAUGUCAGUAAAUACACAGUCAUUCUGAGGGAUCACAUUCAACCUGUGGUAAAUCAUCUCUAUCCUGAUGGGCGCGGAUAACAAUUCGCCCAUCCACAGGGCACGAGUAGUCACUGAAUGGUUUGAUGGGCAUGAAAACCAUGUAAACCAUAUGCAAUGGCUGUCUCAGUCUCCAGAUCUCAACCCAAUUGAACAUUUAUGCAAGAUUUUGGAGCGGCAUGAGGAGAUGGCUGCCGUUUUACGAUCUCCUAACCAAUUGUGCUAUUGUGUGUUUUUUUUUUUUGCGUUAUUUGUAACUUUUUUGUACAUAAUGUUUCUGCCACUGUGUCUUAUGACUGAAAAGAUCUUCUAGAUAUCAGGACAGCGAUCACCCCGUACUGGAGGAAUACCUUUUCUUUAAAGUGUUGGAUGGGAAAGAUUUACUACAGACCCCUGACAAGGCCCUCAUCCCCGUCAUUCGCAGGAGAAAGAGACAGAGAUAUCGGGGAUGAAGAUUGGGGUGCCUUGUCAGGAUCCAAUGAUGAGUGGGUAAUCUGCCAAUGGUGAUCGGUCCUAUUAGCCAAAGUACAAUCAUUGGAUAAUAAAAUAGAAGAGCUACCAGCACGUAUUUCCUACCAACAGGACAUUAAAAACUGUAAUAUCUUAUUUUUCACCGAGUCGUGGCUGUACAGCUGGUGGGUUUUAAGCUUUUUCGGCAGGAUAGAACAAAUCAAAAUCAAAUCAAAUUUAUUUAUAUAGCCCUUCAUACAUCAGCUGAUAUCUCAAAGUGCUGUACAGAAACCCAGCCUAAAACCCCAAACAGCAAGCAAAGCAGGUGUAGAAGCACGGUGGCUAGGAAAAACUCCCUAGAAAGGCCAAAACCUAGGAAGAAACCUAGAGAGGAACCAGGCUAUGUGGGGUGGCCAGUCCUCUUCUGGCUGUGCCGGGUGGAGAUUAUAACAGAACAUGACCAAGAUGUUCAAAUGUUCAUAAAUGACCAGCAUGGUCGUAUAAUAAUAAGGCAGAACAGUUGAAACUGGAGCAGCAGCACGGUCAGGUGGACUGGGGACAGCAAGGAGUCAUCAUGUCAGGUAGUCCUGGGGCAUGGUCCUAGGGCUCAGGUCCUCCUCCGAGAGAGAGAGAAUUAGAGAACGCACACUUAGAUUCACACAGGACACCGAAUAGGACAGGAGAGGUACUCCAGAUAUAACAAACUGACCCUAGCCCCCCGACACAUUAACAACUGCAACAUAAAUACUGGAGGCUGAGACAGGAGGGGUCAGGAGACACUGUGGCCCCAUCCGAGGACACCCCCAGACAGGGCCAAACAGGAAGGAUAUAACCCCACCCACUUUGCCAAAGCACAGCCCCCACACCACUAGAGGGAUAUCUUCAACCACCAACUUACCAUCCUGAGACAAGGCUGAGUAUAGCCCACAAAGAUCUCCGCCAUGGCACAACCCAAGGGGGG
This is a long non-coding RNA of Oncorhynchus tshawytscha (Chinook salmon), 3302 nucleotides long. The record is from Ensembl. NCBI's taxonomy places the organism in Eukaryota, Metazoa, Chordata, Actinopteri, Salmoniformes, Salmonidae.